AUGUGAAAUCCCCGGGCUCAACCUGGGAACUGCAUCUGAUACUGGCAAGCUUGAGUCUCGUAGAGGGGGGUAGAAUUCCAGGUGUAGCGGUGAAAUGCGUAGAGAUCUGGAGGAAUACCGGUGGCGAAGGCGGCCCCCUGGACGAAGACUGACGCUCAGGUGCGAAAGCGUGGGGAGCAAACAGGAUUAGAUACCCUGGUAGUCCACGCCGUAAACGAUGUCGACUUGGAGGUUGUGCCCUUGAGGCGUGGCUUCCGGAGCUAACGCGUUAAGUCGACCGCCUGGGGAGUACGGCCGCAAGGUUAAAACUCAAAUGAAUUGACGGGGGCCCGCACAAGCGGUGGAGCAUGUGGUUUAAUUCGAUGCAACGCGAAGAACCUUACCUGGUCUUGACAUCCACAGAACUUUCCAGAGAUGGAUUGGUGCCUUCGGGAACUGUGAGACAGGUGCUGCAUGGCUGUC
This 462-nucleotide ribosomal RNA is filed under the name Escherichia coli. RNAcentral's name for it is "bacterial SSU rRNA". It matches the Rfam family "Bacterial small subunit ribosomal RNA", at positions 592 to 1053 of the family's 1533-position model. Lineage: Bacteria; Pseudomonadati; Pseudomonadota; Gammaproteobacteria; Enterobacterales; Enterobacteriaceae. The record is from RNAcentral.